Long non-coding RNA from Eucalyptus grandis, 542 nucleotides. RefSeq lists it as uncharacterized. The transcript has 2 exons. NCBI's taxonomy places the organism in Eukaryota, Viridiplantae, Streptophyta, Magnoliopsida, Myrtales, Myrtaceae. The record is from RefSeq and is a predicted model, not a curated record.
CUGCAUCUCCAAGGAGUUCCCUGGAGCAUUUCUUAUCAGGCCAAAGGUGGAGCCUGCGGUUGGGGCAGCAUUGCUGGCUCGUAAUUUUUACAUGAAAGAAUUCUGCAAGGAGCUAUAGAAGUCCCAUUCUUGAAGAUUCGCUAGAGUCGACCCAAUUGUACAGUAGGACAACAUUGAGGUUUUCUAGCGUUGCCAAAACAUGAACACAUCGGACAGAGGAAACGACAGUUUGAGACGAAAACCGGUCCGAGUCUGGUGAAAGGGUUCAUAGGUUCCCUCUCCAUUCUUCUCUCUCUCUCUCUCUCUCUCUCUGAGGUCAUUCUUUUCAGCAGAUAGUUUUUCACUUCUUGGGUGAAACAUGCUGCAACGCUACCGUGAGUCCAUGAUUGGUGAAAUUGGUCCGUGUGCUUGUAUUUCUUUUGCUGUCGAUGAUUUAGUUUUGAUGCAUUUAAGCAUCCCUCUUGUCGCCAUGGCAGAGCAUUCUUGCUGAGAAUUUCGUUUACCUUGGGAAUUGCACUUGGCCACCGUUGGCUUUUCCGCUU